AGUUUGAUCCUGGCUCAGAGUGAACGCUGGCGGCAGGCCUAAUACAUGCAAGUCGAACGGCAGCACAGCAGAGCUUGCUCUGUGGGUGGCGAGUGGCGGACGGGUGAGGAAUACAUGAGAAUCUGCCCAGUCGUGGGGGAUAACGUAGGGAAACUUACGCUAAUACCGCAUGCGCCCUUCGGGGGAAAGCCGGGGACCUUCGGGCCUGGCGCGAUUGGAUGAGCCCAUGUCGGAUUAGCUAGUUGGCGGGGUAAUGGCCCACCAAGGCGACGAUCCGUAGCUGGUCUGAGAGGAUGAUCAGCCACACUGGAACUGAGACACGGUCCAGACUCCUACGGGAGGCAGCAGUAGGGAAUAUUGGACAAUGGGCGCAAGCCUGAUCCAGCCAUGCCGCGUGAGUGAAGAAGGCCCUCGGGUUGUAAAGCUCUUUUGUCCGGAAAGAAAAGCGCCGGGUUAAUACCCUGGUGUCCUGACGGUACCGGAAGAAUAAGCACCGGCUAACUUCGUG
Molecule: ribosomal RNA, 508 nt
Filed under: uncultured bacterium
Lineage: Bacteria
Description: bacterial SSU rRNA
Rfam family: Bacterial small subunit ribosomal RNA
Source: RNAcentral